UACGUAGGUGACAAGCGUUGUCCGGAUUUACUGGGCGUAAAGAGCGCGCAGGCGGUCGUUCAAGUCGAGUGUGAAAGCCCCCGGCUCAACUGGGGAGGGUCAUUCGAUACUGAUCGACUCGAAGGCAGGAGAGGGAAGUGGAAUUCCCGGUGUAGUGGUGAAAUGCGCAGAUAUCGGGAGGAACACCUAUGGCGAAGGCAGCUCGCUGGGACGUUACUGACGCUGAGACGCGAAAGCGUGGGGAGCAAACAGG
RNAcentral lists this ribosomal RNA (253 nucleotides) under uncultured bacterium. Its description in RNAcentral is "partial 16S ribosomal RNA". It matches the Rfam family "Bacterial small subunit ribosomal RNA", at positions 524 to 776 of the family's 1533-position model. The record is from RNAcentral.